This 904-nucleotide ribosomal RNA is filed under the name marine metagenome. RNAcentral describes it as "bacterial SSU rRNA". It matches the Rfam family "Bacterial small subunit ribosomal RNA", at positions 497 to 1401 of the family's 1533-position model. The record is from RNAcentral.
CUAAUUCCGUGCCAGCAGCCGCGGUAAUACGGGAGUGGCAAGCGUUAUCCGGAAUUAUUGGGCGUAAAGCGUCCGCAGGCGGCCUUUCAAGUCUGCUGUUAAAACGUGGAGCUUAACUCCAUCAUGGCAGUGGAAACUGUUGGGCUUGAGUGUGGUAGGGGCAGAGGGAAUUCCCGGUGUAGCGGUGAAAUGCGUAGAUAUCGGGAAGAACACCAGUGGCGAAGGCGCUCUGCUGGGCCAUAACUGACGCUCAUGGACGAAAGCCAGGGGAGCGAAAGGGAUUAGAUACCCCUGUAGUCCUGGCCGUAAACGAUGAACACUAGGUGUCGGGGGAAUCGACCCCCUCGGUGUCGUAGCCAACGCGUUAAGUGUUCCGCCUGGGGAGUACGCACGCAAGUGUGAAACUCAAAGGAAUUGACGGGGGCCCGCACAAGCGGUGGAGUAUGUGGUUUAAUUCGAUGCAACGCGAAGAACCUUACCAGGGUUUGACAUCCUGCGAAUCUCUUGGAAACGAGAGAGUGCCCUCGGGAACGCAGUGACAGGUGGUGCAUGGCUGUCGUCAGCUCGUGUCGUGAGAUGUUGGGUUAAGUCCCGCAACGAGCGCAACCCACGUCUUUAGUUGCCAGCAUUUAGUUGGGCACUCUAGAGAGACCGCCGGUGAUAAACCGGAGGAAGGUGUGGAUGACGUCAAGUCAUCAUGCCCCUUACAUCCUGGGCUACACACGUACUACAAUGCUACGGACAAAGAGCAGCAAGUUCGCGAGGACAAGCAAAUCUCAUAAACCGUGGCUCAGUUCAGAUCGUAGGCUGCAACUCGCCUACGUGAAGGAGGAAUCGCUAGUAAUCGCACGUCAGCAUACUGCGGUGAAUACGUUCCCGGGCCUUGUACACACCGCCCGUCACA